GCGUCGGUAGUCCAGUGGUUAGGAUACUGCCUUCCCAGCACCAAGCCAGCGUGUUGAAGGCAGGGGUCGUGGGUUCAAUCCCCACUCGACGCA
This is a non-coding RNA of Massariosphaeria phaeospora, 93 nucleotides long. Lineage: Eukaryota; Fungi; Ascomycota; Dothideomycetes; Pleosporales. The record is from the annotation of a GenBank genome assembly.